UACAGAGGGUGCAAGCGUUGUUCGGAAUUAUUGGGCGUAAAGCGCUGGUAGGUGGCUCGUUAAGUCGCGUGUGAAAGCUCCAGGCUCAACCUGGAAAGUGCGCGCGAAACUGGCGAGCUUGAGUGCCGGAGAGGGUCGCGGAAUUCCCAGUGUAGAGGUGAAAUUCGUAGAUAUUGGGAGGAACACCAGAGGCGAAGGCGGCGACCUGGAAGGUGACUGACACUGAGCAGCGAAAGCGUGGGGAGCAAACAGG
This 253-nucleotide ribosomal RNA is filed under the name uncultured bacterium. RNAcentral's name for it is "partial 16S ribosomal RNA". It matches the Rfam family "Bacterial small subunit ribosomal RNA", at positions 524 to 776 of the family's 1533-position model. The record is from RNAcentral.